GAUGAACGCUGGCGGCGUGCCUAAUACAUGCAAGUCGAGCGAACAGACGAGGAGCUUGCUCCUCUGACGUUAGCGGCGGACGGGUGAGUAACACGUGGAUAACCUACCUAUAAGACUGGGAUAACUUCGGGAAACCGGAGCUAAUACCGGAGAAUAUAUUGAAGCGCAUGGUUCAAUAGUGAAAGACGGCUUUUGUGUCACUUCUAGAUGGAUCUGAGCCGCAUUAGCUUGUUGGUAAGGUAACAGCUUACCAAGGCAACGAUGCGUAUCCGAGCGGAGAGGGUGAUCGGCCACACUGGAGCUGAGCCACGGUCCAGACUCCUACGGGAGGCAGCAGUAGGGAAUCUUACGCAAUGGGCGAAAGCUUGACGGAGCAACGCCGCGUGAGUGAUGAAGGUCUUCGGAUCGUAAAACUCUGUUAUUAGGGAAGAACAAAUGUGUAAGUAACUAUGCACGUCUUGACGGUACCUAAUCAGAAAGCCACGGCUAACUACGUG
Molecule: ribosomal RNA, 497 nt
Filed under: uncultured bacterium
Lineage: Bacteria
Description: partial 16S ribosomal RNA
Rfam family: Bacterial small subunit ribosomal RNA
Source: RNAcentral